AUUGAACGCUGGCGGCAUGCCUUACACAUGCAAGUCGAACGGCAGCAUGAUCUAGCUUGCUCGAUUGAUGGCGAGUGGCGCACGGGUGAGUAAUACAUCGGAACGUGCCCUGUAGUGGGGGAUAACUAGUCGAAAGAUUAGCUAAUACCGCAUACGACCUGAGGGUGAAAGUGGGGGACCGCAAGGCCUCCUGCUAUAGGAGCGGCCGAUGUCUGAUUAGCUAGUUGGUGAGGUAAAGGCCCACCAAGGCGACGAUCAGUAGCUGGUCUGAGAGGACGAUCAGCCACACUGGGACUGAGACACGGCCCAGACUCCUACGGGAGGCAGCAGUGGGGAAUUUUGGACAAUGGGCGAAAGCCUGAUCCAGCAAUGCCGCGUGUGUGAAGAAGGCCUUCGGGUUGUAAAGCACUUUUGUCCGGAAAGAAAUGGCUCUGGUUAAUACCUGGGGUCGAUGACGGUACCGGAAGAAUAAGGACCGGCUAACUACGUG
RNAcentral lists this ribosomal RNA (490 nucleotides) under uncultured bacterium. Its description in RNAcentral is "partial 16S ribosomal RNA". It matches the Rfam family "Bacterial small subunit ribosomal RNA", at positions 30 to 507 of the family's 1533-position model. The record is from RNAcentral.